This 252-nucleotide long non-coding RNA is filed under the name Pan troglodytes (chimpanzee). RNAcentral's name for it is "lncRNA (ENSPTRG00000053070.1)". The record is from RNAcentral. Lineage: Eukaryota; Metazoa; Chordata; Mammalia; Primates; Hominidae.
AUGCAUACAAUACCUAACCCUCCCAAUUAUACCCACAGAGAAAGCAAGACAUUGAGAGGUUUGGUAGUAUGCCCAUACUUGCAUGUCUGUGCACCAAGAAGCAAGAAGCCAAAGACAGCUGUUUCUGACUACAAAGACCAUUCUCACUUUACCAUAACAUGCAACAACUUGGACUAUCAGGCAUGGAUGGGUGUUUACAUCAUUUUUUACAACAGUGGAGUUUGCACUAUUGCUUUGAAAAUACUUUCUUGA